UCUCCUGGAAACGGGUGGUAAUGCCGGAUGCUCCAGUUGAUCGCAUGGUCUUCUGGGAAAGCUUUCGCGGUAUGGGAUGGGGUCGCGUCCUAUCAGCUUGACGGCGGGGUAACGGCCCACCGUGGCUUCGACGGGUAGCCGGCCUGAGAGGGCGACCGGCCACAUUGGGACUGAGAUACGGCCCAGACUCCUACGGGAGGCAGCAGUGGGGAAUAUUGCACAAUGGGCGCAAGCCUGAUGCAGCGACGCCGCGUGAGGGAUGGAGGCCUUCGGGUUGUAAACCUCUUUUAUCGGGGAGCAAGCGAGAGUGAGUUUACCCGUUGAAUAAGCACCGGCUAACUACGUGCCAGCAGCCGCGGUAAUACGUAGGGUGCAAGCGUUAUCCGGAAUUAUUGGGCGUAAAGGGCUCGUAGGCGGUUCGUCGCGUCCGGUGUGAAAGUCCAUCGCUUAACGGUGGAUCCGCGCCGGGUACGGGCGGGCUUGAGUGCGGUAGGGGAGACUGGAAUUCCCGGUGUAACGGUGGAAUG
This 527-nucleotide ribosomal RNA is filed under the name Bifidobacterium longum subsp. suillum. RNAcentral's name for it is "bacterial SSU rRNA". It matches the Rfam family "Bacterial small subunit ribosomal RNA", at positions 146 to 688 of the family's 1533-position model. Lineage: Bacteria; Bacillati; Actinomycetota; Actinomycetes; Bifidobacteriales; Bifidobacteriaceae. The record is from RNAcentral.